UGAAGUCUUCAGGGCAGGGAUUGUUUCCCUACCGGUGGUAUAGCCCACGAGCCGCAAGGCAUGAUUCGGUGAGAUUCCGAAGCCGACAGUAAAGUCUGGAUGAAAGAAGAUGAAA
RNAcentral lists this non-coding RNA (115 nucleotides) under Acetobacterium woodii. RNAcentral's name for it is "FMN sequence". It matches the Rfam family "FMN riboswitch aptamer (RFN element)". Rfam says of the family: The RFN element is a highly conserved domain that is found frequently in the 5'-untranslated regions of prokaryotic mRNAs that encode for flavin mononucleotide (FMN) biosynthesis and transport proteins. This element is a metabolite-dependent riboswitch that directly binds FMN in the absence of proteins. In Bacillus subtilis, the riboswitch most likely controls gene expression by causing premature transcription termination within the 5' untranslated region of the ribDEAHT operon and precluding access to the ribosome-binding site of ypaA mRNA. RNAcentral also lists the same sequence under 1 other name. The record is from RNAcentral. Lineage: Bacteria; Bacillati; Bacillota; Clostridia; Eubacteriales; Eubacteriaceae.